AAUAUUGGACAAUGGGCGAAAGCCUGAUCCAGCCAUGCCGCGUGUGUGAAGAAGGUCUUCGGAUUGUAAUGCACUUUAAGUUGGGAGGAAGGGUUGUAGGUUAAUACCCUGCAAUUUUGACGUUACCAACAGAAUAAGCACCGGCUAACUUCGUACCAGCAGCCGCGGUAAUGAGAAGGGUGCAAGCGUUAAGCGGAAUUACUGGGCGUAAAGCGCGCGUAGGUGGUUCGUUAAGUUGGAAGUGAAAGCCACGGGCUUAACCUGGGAAUUGCUUUCAAAACUGACGAGCUAGAGUACGGUAGAUGGUAUUGGAAGUUCCUGUGUAGCGGUGAAAUGCGUAGAUAUAGGAAGGAACAUCAGUGGCGAAGGCGACUACCUGGACUGAUACUGACACUGAGGUGCGAAAGCGUGGGGAGCAAACAGG
RNAcentral lists this ribosomal RNA (424 nucleotides) under uncultured bacterium. Its description in RNAcentral is "partial 16S ribosomal RNA". It matches the Rfam family "Bacterial small subunit ribosomal RNA", at positions 360 to 776 of the family's 1533-position model. The record is from RNAcentral.